Molecule: ribosomal RNA, 509 nt
Filed under: uncultured bacterium
Lineage: Bacteria
Description: bacterial SSU rRNA
Rfam family: Bacterial small subunit ribosomal RNA
Source: RNAcentral
CUGGCUCAGGAUGAACGCUAGCUACAGGCUUAACACAUGCAAGUCGAGGGGCACAGGACGAUAGCUUGCUAUGUUGCUGGCGACCGGCGCACGGGUGAGUAACGCGUAUCCAACCUUCCCCUUAGUAGGGCAUAGCCCGGCGAAAGUCGGAUUAAUACCCUAUGUUAUCCGAAGAGGACAUCUGAAUUGGAUUAAAGAUUUAUCGCUAAGGGAUGGGGAUGCGUCUGAUUAGGUAGUAGGCGGGGUAACGGCCCACCUAGCCGACGAUCAGUAGGGGUUCUGAGAGGAAGGUCCCCCACAUUGGUACUGAGACACGGACCAAACUCCUACGGGAGGCAGCAGUGAGGAAUAUUGGUCAAUGGGCGCGAGCCUGAACCAGCCAAGUAGCGUGCAAGGAUGACGGCCCUAUGGGUUGUAAACUGCUUUUAUGCGGGGAUAAAGUGCGGCACGUGUGCCGUUUUGUAGGUACCGCAUGAAUAAGGACCGGCUAAUUCCGUGCCAGCAGCCGC